RNAcentral lists this ribosomal RNA (638 nucleotides) under uncultured bacterium. RNAcentral's name for it is "bacterial SSU rRNA". It matches the Rfam family "Bacterial small subunit ribosomal RNA", at positions 607 to 1244 of the family's 1533-position model. The record is from RNAcentral.
GCUCAACGGGAGGAAGUGCUUCGAAAACUGGUAAACUUGAGUGCAGAAGAGGAAAGUGGAACUCCAUGUGUAGCGGUGGAAUGCGUAGAUAUAUGGAAGAACACCAGUGGCGAAGGCGGCUUUCUGGUCUGUAACUGACGCUGAGAUUCGAAAGCAUGGGUAGCAAACAGGAUUAGAUACCCUGGUAGUCCAUGCCGUAAACGAUGAGUGCUAAGUGUUGGAGGGUUUCCGCCCUUCAGUGCUGCAGCUAACGCAUUAAGCACUCCGCCUGGGGAGUACGACCGCAAGGUUGAAACUCAAAGGAAUUGACGGGGGCCCGCACAAGCGGUGGAGCAUGUGGUUUAAUUCGAAGCAACGCGAAGAACCUUACCAGGUCUUGACAUACCAUGAAAAGCUUAGAGAUAAGUCUUUCCCUUCGGGGACAUGGAUACAGGUGGUGCAUGGUUGUCGUCAGCUCGUGUCGUGAGAUGUUGGGUUAAGUCCCGCAACGAGCGCAACCCUUAUUAUCAGUUGCCAGCAUUCAGUUGGGCACUCUGGUGAGACUGCCGGUGACAAACCGGAGGAAGGUGGGGACGACGUCAAAUCAUCAUGCCCCUUAUGACCUGGGCUACACACGUGCUACAAUGGUCGGUACAACG